RNAcentral lists this unclassified non-coding RNA (272 nucleotides) under air metagenome. RNAcentral's name for it is "partial contains small subunit ribosomal RNA, internal transcribed spacer 1, and 5.8S ribosomal RNA". The stretch from base 1 to 46 matches the Rfam family "Eukaryotic small subunit ribosomal RNA", at positions 1786 to 1831 of the family's 1831-position model. The record is from RNAcentral.
AAGUCGUAACAAGGUUUCCGUAGGUGAACCUGCGGAAGGAUCAUUAUCGAAUUUUGAAGACCCUUUUGGUUGUCGCUGGCCUUUUGUGAGGCAUGUGCACGCCGACUGUGGUUUCCAUCAUCAACCCCUGUGCACCUUUGCGUGAGCUCCCAUCGGCCGUCACCUUUGGGGGUUUGCGAUCUUUAUCAAACUCAACUGUAUGUCUAUAGAAUGUCAUCUUGCGGUAACACGCAUUUUUAAUACAACUUUCAACAACGGAUCUCUUGGCUCUC